UGCAUAACACAUGCAAGUCGAGCGAGACUGGUCGCAAGAUCAGUCUAGCGGCAGACGAGUGAGUAACACGUAAACAAUCUACCCUCGAAUGGCGAAUAACCAGCCGAAAGGCUGGCUAAUACGCCGUACUCUCCUUUGAAGGCAUCUUCAGAGGAGGAUAGAUCCGCAAGGAUCGUUCUUGGAGGAGUUUGCGGCCCAUCAGCUAGUUGGCGGUGUAAUAGACCACCAAGGCUACGACGGGUACCCGGCCUGAAAGGGCGGACGGGCACGAUGGCACUGAGACACGGGCCAUACUCCUACGGGAGGCAGCAGUGGGGAAUUUUGGACAAUGGGCGAAAGCCUGAUCCAGCAACUCUGCGUGAGGGACGAAGGUCUUCGGAUCGUAAACCUC
This 391-nucleotide ribosomal RNA is filed under the name uncultured organism. Its description in RNAcentral is "bacterial SSU rRNA". It matches the Rfam family "Bacterial small subunit ribosomal RNA", at positions 45 to 433 of the family's 1533-position model. The record is from RNAcentral.